This 492-nucleotide ribosomal RNA is filed under the name uncultured bacterium. RNAcentral's name for it is "partial 16S ribosomal RNA". It matches the Rfam family "Bacterial small subunit ribosomal RNA", at positions 29 to 507 of the family's 1533-position model. The record is from RNAcentral.
AGUGAACGCUGGCGGUAGGCCUAACACAUGCAAGUCGAACGGCAGCACAGUAAGAGCUUGCUCUUACGGGUGGCGAGUGGCGGACGGGUGAGGAAUACAUCGGAAUCUACUUUUUCGUGGGGGAUAACGUAGGGAAACUUACGCUAAUACCGCAUACGACCUACGGGUGAAAGCAGUGGAUCUUCGGACCUUUCGCGAUUGAAUGAGCCGAUGUCGGAUUAGCUAGUUGGCGGGGUAAAGGCCCACCAAGGCGACGAUCCGUAGCUGGUCUGACAGGAGGGUCAGCCACACUAGAACUGAGACACGGUCCAGACUCCUACGGGAGGCAGCAGUGGGGAAUAUUGGACAAUGGGCGGAAGCCUGAUCCAGCCAUACCGCGUGGGUGAAGAAGGCCUUCGGGUUGUAAAGCCCUUUUGUUGGGAAAGAAAAGCAGCAGGUUAAUACCCCGCUGUUCUGACGGUACCCAAAGAAUAAGCACCGGCUAACUUCGUG